Molecule: long non-coding RNA, 2447 nt
Filed under: Equus caballus (horse)
Lineage: Eukaryota; Metazoa; Chordata; Mammalia; Perissodactyla; Equidae
Description: lncRNA (ENSECAG00000046614.1)
Source: RNAcentral
UCUGCAAGUGUCUCAAGGCCAAAGACAGGCUGGUGGGAAAGCUCCAACCAGCAAGGCCAUAUGCUCCCCCUCCCCUACCUAAAACCCCAAAUAAAAACCCUUCCUUUUAGGUUUUUGGGGAGUUUGGGAUUUGAGCAUUAGCUACCCUCUCUCCUUGCUCAGCGCUGUGCAAAAAUAAAAUUCCUACUUUCUUCCACCACACCCAGAGUCAUAGAUUGGCUUGCUGUGCAACGAGUGAGCGAACUCACUUCAGUUUUGGUAACAAUUUGGUGACCCAGAUGGGACAAUGUCCCAGGUGGACGUCUCGCCUGGGGCACACCGGCCUCUGGCUAAAGGCCUCUCUUGGAAGCUGUCCUGCAGCUGCCUGAGCCCCUUGUCUCAGGGACAGCCCCAAGCGACUGGCUGCUAACCAGACGAUGUUGGCCCACGAUGCUUUUGCUUUGGUGGUGGAAGAAACUAGGUUUAGGACUCAGGAAGACGUCUCUUCCCCCCGGUACAUAGUUGUAUAUUCUUCGUUGUGGGUCCUUCUAGUUGUGGCAUGUGGGACGCUGCCUCAGCGUGGUCUGAUGAGCAGUGCCAUGUCCAUGCCCAGGAUUCGAACCAACGAAACACUGGGCCUCCUGCAGCGGAGCGCACGAACUUAACCACUCGGCCACGGGGCCAGCCCCUCAUGGAGUUUUUGUAGACGAUAUAAAUAUAAUUGUUAAGAACAGGACACAAUUGGAAACACUGGUUAUAUUACCAAGGCUUUGACUGGAACAUCAUAUUUGAAAAAACAUAUGGGCUUAAAUAUAACAAGACAGCUUUUGAAGAAUGAAGGUUGACAUUCUGGAAUAAAGCCACUUGGAAAUAUUGGCCUGGUACUGUGCUUAUGGGUUCUGUAACCUGGUAAGGUUGAGUAAAGAAUGUCGCUCCUUUUGGCAGGUACAAGGAACCUCAAUAUUUCGGGGAACCUCAUGAAGAGAGGGAUUCACCCAAAUCUGCAGGUACUGCAGGCAGAAUGUGAUAACAGGUCCUUUGCUUGGCUUUCCUUGAGAGGCCUUUAAAGAUCAACCUGAGAUUUCUUAUAAGGUUCCAGCAAAGCAGAUUAAAAAGAGCCUAUAUGAUCAACUACUAUUCUUGCUGUACUUAUGUAAAUAAUUAUUCCAAAUUUAUUAAAACUAGACAUUGUGCAAACCAGUUAGUCUUAAUUUUGCUAUGUCUAGUGAAAUUGAGGGUGAUUUUAGGGAGGAAGAUUAUGUUUCAAUAGAAACUAUAAUUCAUGUUUAUAGAUAUUAGAUUUUAGUUUUUUCAAUUGUCCUUUUGAAAUUUUUGUUUUACUUCUGUUAACUAGACUGGAUCUUAAAUUCUUCAUCUCCUGAACUACCUGGCCAAAAACCUCCAAGCUAACAUUUUCAGGGUCUUUUUUUCCCCAUUAUUUUCAUUUAGAGUCAUUGAAAACUAAAUCUGCCCUUUUUCCUAAAGCCUUACAAACUGAAGCUGGAAGACCCAAUAUAAACUUAAGAGAGAUUCACGUCUACUGCUGUGUAAGCCACUCAAAAAGCCACCUGAUUGCUGCAUGACACCAUCAGAGACAUUUCAAACUGCAAAAGAUGCUUUGACUCUGACUUCUAGGAAUCUUGAUUGGCUGCCCCCUGGGCUCAGAAACUUGUUUAUAAUUUGCUCCAAUCAUUAACCUUGUUUUUCUCUUUAAGUUUCUCUAGAAAAUCUUCUUAUUAAAUACCUUGUUACUUACUUACAUGAUACAGGCCUACCUUCAGGAGCCCACCAGCAUCACUGCCUUAUUAAAAGACUGGUUCAAUGAGAUAAAACAACCUACGCCCCAUUUCAGCAGGAAGUAGCUAGAUGGGUCGCCACCCCAAAUCCCUAAAGAUUGACGGAUGGACAUAAAAUAGGGGGGAGUUGAUACCGACCCUGAUAUCAGUUUCCCCACAUUAAACCCAGCAUAUAUGGGGUUAAAACCAAAACACUCAUUCCCUGCUUACUCUCUGGCUUCCUGGCUCCAGAAUCCACUAUCCUCCAUGGAGAGAGACACCAUCAAGGACAAGCACCUGGACUAUCUCCUCCCGCAAAGAGAUACGGGCUGGUGGGAAAGCUGCUGACCAGCAGGGUCAUGAGCUGCCUCCUCUCUGCAAGUGUCUCAAGGCCAAAGACAGGCUGGUGGGAAAGCUCCGACCAGCAAGGCCAUAUGCUCCCCCUCCCCUACCUAAAACCCCAAAUAAGAACCCUUCCUUUCAGCUUUUCGGGGAGUUUGAGAUUUGAGCAUUAGCUGCCCUCUCUCCUUGCUCAGUGCUGUGCAAAAAUAAAAUUCCUACUUUCUUCCACCACACCCGGUGUCAGAGAUUGGCUUGCUGUGCAGCGGUGAGUGAACUCACUUCAGGUUCGGUAACGAAGAUACAGAUGUGUCCUUUCUCUUAAGAGUUUGCCAUUAAAUACGAGAUAAUAAU